GACGAACGCUGGCGGCGUGCUUAACACAUGCAAGUCGAACGGAAAGGCCCUGCUUGCUGGGUACUCGAGUGGCGAACGGGUGAGUAACACGUGGGUGAUCUGCCCUGCACUUCGGGAUAAGCCUGGGAAACUGGGUCUAAUACCGGGUAGGAGCCAUUUUUAGUGUGAUGGUUGGAAAGUUUUUUCGGUGUAGGAUGAGCUCGCGGCCUAUCAGCUUGUUGGUGGGGUAAUGGCCUACCAAGGCGGCGACGGGUAGCCGGCCUGAGAGGGUGGACGGCCACAUUGGGACUGAGAUACGGCCCAGACUCCUACGGGAGGCAGCAGUGGGGAAUAUUGCACAAUGGGCGCAAGCCUGAUGCAGCGACGCCGCGGGGGGGAUGACGGCCUUCGGGUUGUAAACUCCUUUCGCUAGGGACGAAGCUUUUUGUGACGGUACCUAGAUAAGAAGCACCGGCUAACUACGUG
Molecule: ribosomal RNA, 465 nt
Filed under: uncultured bacterium
Lineage: Bacteria
Description: partial 16S ribosomal RNA
Rfam family: Bacterial small subunit ribosomal RNA
Source: RNAcentral